UUGUGGUCGGUGUACAGGUGGUGCAUGGCUGUCGUCAGCUCGUGUCGUGAGAUGUUGGGUUAAGUCCCGCAACGAGCGCAACCCUUGUCCCGUGUUGCCAGCAGGCCCUUGUGGUGCUGGGGACUCACGGGAGACCGCCGGGGUCAACUCGGAGGAAGGUGGGGACGACGUCAAGUCAUCAUGCCCCUUAUGUCUUGGGCUGCACACGUGCUACAAUGGCCGGUACAAUGAG
RNAcentral lists this ribosomal RNA (232 nucleotides) under Streptomyces sp. Its description in RNAcentral is "partial 16S ribosomal RNA". It matches the Rfam family "Bacterial small subunit ribosomal RNA", at positions 1021 to 1246 of the family's 1533-position model. Lineage: Bacteria; Bacillati; Actinomycetota; Actinomycetes; Kitasatosporales; Streptomycetaceae. The record is from RNAcentral.